GCGUUGUUCGGAAUUACUGGGCGUAAAGCGUGCGUAGUCGGUAUUGAGAGUCACGGGUGAAAUCCCAGGGCUUAACCCUGGAACUGCCUGUGAGACCUCAGUACUAGAGUGUGAGAGGGGAUAGUGGAAUACCCAGUGUAGCGGUGAAAUGCGUAGAGAUUGGGUGGAACACCGGUGGCGAAGGCGGCUAUCUGGCUCACAACUGACGAUCAGGCACGAAAGCGUG
Molecule: ribosomal RNA, 226 nt
Filed under: uncultured bacterium
Lineage: Bacteria
Description: partial 16S ribosomal RNA
Rfam family: Bacterial small subunit ribosomal RNA
Source: RNAcentral